Pogona vitticeps (central bearded dragon) is the source of this 305-nucleotide unclassified non-coding RNA. Its record names the gene 7SK. It matches the Rfam family "7SK RNA". From Rfam's summary of the family: 7SK was discovered as an abundant small nuclear RNA in the mid-70s but a possible function has only recently been suggested. Two independent studies have found that 7SK RNA binds the CDK9/cyclin T complex (known as elongation factor P-TEFb). P-TEFb activates transcription by phosphorylating the C-terminal domain of RNA polymerase II. The record is from Ensembl. NCBI's taxonomy places the organism in Eukaryota, Metazoa, Chordata, Lepidosauria, Squamata, Agamidae.
ACAUGAGGGCAAUUCAUUAUCUGUUACUCCACUGAUUGCCAGGGUUGAAUUGGAUGAUCCGUUCGGCUAAGAAGGUGUCCCCUUCCUUCCUUCCUGCUCCCUGUGUGUUCUCCUGAGGCACACGAUGGAAGAAGAUGAUCAUGCCUGAAAGAAGGAUUCUUCAGUCCAUUUUUCAGUCAAGGGUAUGUGAUAGCUGCACUCCCUUGCUAUAACCUUCAAAGAAAAUAAAUAAAAAUAGGCAUGUAUGUGUGAACUGGCCCUCAGAAGCAUGUUUCAGCAUUCUUAAAUGGAUGCCUUGCCAUGAU